Perognathus longimembris pacificus (Pacific pocket mouse) is the source of this 102-nucleotide long non-coding RNA. RefSeq lists it as uncharacterized. The record is from RefSeq and is a predicted model, not a curated record. The transcript has 3 exons. Lineage: Eukaryota; Metazoa; Chordata; Mammalia; Rodentia; Heteromyidae.
AGUGUUUCCCUAUCCUGUUUAAAUCUUACCAACACUGUACUGUGAAGUAGAUAUAGCAGUAGUAGUUUCUCUUCAGAGAGAAAUAAAAAGUCACCAGUGAAG